CUGCAUGGCUGUCGUCAGCUCGUGUCGUGAGAUGUUGGGUUAAGUCCCGCAACGAGCGCAACCCUUGCCUUUAGUUGCCAGCAGUUCGGCUGGGCACUCUAAAGGGAACUGCCGGUGUUAAACCGGAGGAAGGUGGGGAUGACGUCAAGUCCUCAUGGCCUUUAUGACCAGGGCUACACACGUACUACAAUGGCCGAUACAAAGGGCAGCGACACUGCGAGGUGAAGCCAAUCCCGUAAAAUCGGUCUCAGUCCGGAUUGGAGUCUGCAACUCGACUCCAUGAAGUUGGAAUCGCUAGUAAUCGUGGAUCAGCAUGCCACGGUGAAUACGUUCCCGGGCCUU
RNAcentral lists this ribosomal RNA (342 nucleotides) under uncultured Desulfobulbus sp. Its description in RNAcentral is "bacterial SSU rRNA". It matches the Rfam family "Bacterial small subunit ribosomal RNA", at positions 1041 to 1382 of the family's 1533-position model. Lineage: Bacteria; Pseudomonadati; Thermodesulfobacteriota; Desulfobulbia; Desulfobulbales; Desulfobulbaceae. The record is from RNAcentral.